ACGAUGAAGCCUUUUCCGGGGUUGGAUUAGUUGGCGAACGGGUGAGUAACACGUUGGGCAAUCUGCCCUUCACUCUGGGACAAGCCCUGGAAACGGGGUCUAAUACCGGAUAACACUCCUCAGGGCAUCUUGAGGGGUUAAAAGCUCCGGCGGUGAAGGAUGAGCCCGCGGCCUAUCAGCUUGUUGGUGGGGUGAUGGCCUACCAAGGCGACGACAGGUAGCCGGCCUGAGAGGGCGACCGGCCACACUGGGACUGAGACACGGCCCAGACUCCUACGGGAGGCAGCAGUGGGGAAUAUUGCACAAUGGGCGAAAGCCUGAUGCAGCGACGCCGCGUGAGGGAUGACGGCCUUCGGGUUGUAAACCUCUUUCAGCAGGGAAGAAGCGAAAGUGACGGUACCUGCAGAAGAAGCGCCGGCUAACUACGUGCCAGCAGCCGCGGUAAUACGUAGGGCGCAAGCGUUGUCCGGAAUUAUUGGGCGUAAAGAGCUCGUAGGCGGCUUGUCACGUCGGAUGUGAAAGCCCGGGGCUUAACCCCGGGUCUGCAUUCGAUACGGGCUAGCUAGAGUGUGGUAGGG
This 578-nucleotide ribosomal RNA is filed under the name bacterium. RNAcentral's name for it is "bacterial SSU rRNA". It matches the Rfam family "Bacterial small subunit ribosomal RNA", at positions 66 to 656 of the family's 1533-position model. The record is from RNAcentral.